This 476-nucleotide ribosomal RNA is filed under the name Streptococcus sp. oral taxon 058. RNAcentral's name for it is "bacterial SSU rRNA". It matches the Rfam family "Bacterial small subunit ribosomal RNA", at positions 39 to 499 of the family's 1533-position model. Lineage: Bacteria; Bacillati; Bacillota; Bacilli; Lactobacillales; Streptococcaceae. The record is from RNAcentral.
GCGGCGUGCCUAAUCAUGCAAGUAGACGCUGAAGUAGGAGCUGUUCUCUGGAUGAGUUGCGAACGGUGAGUACCGCGUAGGUAACCUGCCUGGUAGCGGGGGAUCAUCUAUUGGAGUCGAUAGCCUAAUCCGCAUAAUAUUAUUAUUGCAUGAUAGUCGAUUAAAAGGUGCAAUUGCAUCAUACCAGAUGGACCUGCGUUGUAUUAGCUAGUUGCGUGGCGGUAACGGCUCACCAAGGCGUACGAUGACAUAGCCGACCUGAGAGGGUGAUCGGCCACACUGCGGACUGAGACACGGCCCAGACUCCUACGGGAGGCAGCAGUAGGGAAUCUUCGGCAAUGGACGGAAGUCUGACCGAGCAUACGCCGCGUGAAUGAAGAAGGUUUUCGGAUCGUAAAGCUCUGUUGUAAGAGAAGAACGAGUGUGAGAGUGGAAAGUUCACACUGUGACGGGUAUCUUACCAGAAAGCGCGGCUA